GGCCAAAGAAGGAAUCGAAGAUUGGAGGCGUAAAAGGCAGGAUAUUGAGGCCAAUAACCGGAAAGUAAACGUAUACACUGAAAAUCAUACUUUCCAAGAGACUAGAUGGAGAAGUUUACGAGUUGGUGAUCUUAUUAAGGUGUACAAGGAUCAAUAUUUUCCCACUGAUUUGCUUUUGCUUUCAUCAAGCUACGAGGAUGGGAUAUGUUAUGUUGAAACCUCCAAUCUUGAUGGAGAGACUAACCUUAAGGUGA
RNAcentral lists this unclassified non-coding RNA (254 nucleotides) under Hevea brasiliensis (rubber tree). The record is from RNAcentral. Lineage: Eukaryota; Viridiplantae; Streptophyta; Magnoliopsida; Malpighiales; Euphorbiaceae.